RNAcentral lists this ribosomal RNA (446 nucleotides) under uncultured bacterium. Its description in RNAcentral is "partial 16S ribosomal RNA". It matches the Rfam family "Bacterial small subunit ribosomal RNA", at positions 338 to 795 of the family's 1533-position model. The record is from RNAcentral.
CCUACGGGUGACAGCAGUCGAGAAUCAUUCACAAUGGGGGAAACCCUGAUGGUGCGACGCCGCGUGGGGGAAUGAAGGUCUUCGGAUUGUAAACCCCUGUCAUGUGGGAGCAAAUUAAAAAGAUAGUACCACAAGAGGAAGAGACGGCUAACUCUGUGCCAGCAGCCGCGGUAAUACAGAGGUCUCAAGCGUUGUUCGGAAUCACUGGGCGUAAAGCGUGCGUAGGCUGUUUCGUAAGUCGUGUGUGAAAGGCGCGGGCUCAACCCGCGGACGGCACAUGAUACUGCGAGACUAGAGUAAGGGAGGGGGAACCGGAAUUCGCGGUGUAGCAGUGAAAUGCGUAGAUAUCGAGAGGAACACUCGUGGCGAAGGCGGGUUCCUGGACAUUAACUGACGCUGAGGCACGAAGGCCAGGGGAGCGAAAGGGAUUAGAUACCCCUGUAGUC